RNAcentral lists this long non-coding RNA (213 nucleotides) under Nicotiana benthamiana. RNAcentral's name for it is "long non-coding RNA (NBEN_LNC026764)". The record is from RNAcentral. Lineage: Eukaryota; Viridiplantae; Streptophyta; Magnoliopsida; Solanales; Solanaceae.
GUGCUUUGAUACUAGACACCUAAGGCCCUAGGGCGAUAGUUGAACGGAUAUUGGGUACGAUUAAAUACUUGUAGAAUUAGUGAUUGAUCAAGACGGAAUCUGUCAAUUCUUGGUAAUGAGUUUAAACUCCAUGUUGUCAUGAAUUAUAAACGAAGAAACUAAGACCUUGGCCAGGGCAAUUGAAUGAAAAAAGAAAUGAGUUUCUUAGGUCAU